GACUGUUUACCAAAAACAUAGGUUUCUGCUAAGUCGCAAGACGAUGUAUAGGAGCUGACGCCUGCCCGGUGCUGGAAGGUUAAGGGGAUCUGUUAGAGUAAUCGAAGCAGUGAACUUAAGCCCCAGUAAACGGCGGCCGUAACUAUAACGGUCCUAAGGUAGCGAAAUUCCUUGUCGGGUAAGUUCCGACCCGCACGAAAGGCGUAACGAUUUGGGCACUGUCUCAACAACAGACUCGGUGAAAUUGUAAUUCCGGUGAAGAUGCCGGAUACCUGCGACAGGACGGAAAGACCCCAUGGAGCUUUACUGUAGCUUGACAUUGGGUCUUGGUACUACAUGUACAGGAUAGG
This 350-nucleotide ribosomal RNA is filed under the name Clostridioides difficile. Its description in RNAcentral is "partial 23S ribosomal RNA". It matches the Rfam family "Bacterial large subunit ribosomal RNA", at positions 1798 to 2147 of the family's 2925-position model. The record is from RNAcentral. Lineage: Bacteria; Bacillati; Bacillota; Clostridia; Peptostreptococcales; Peptostreptococcaceae.